CCUGGGUGGCAGCAGUGGGGAAUAUUGGACAAUGGGCGAAAGCCUGAUCCAGCCAUGCCGCGUGUGUGAAGAAGGCCUUCGGGUUGUAAAGCACUUUCAGUGGGGAAGAAAGCCUUGGGGCUAAUACCCUCGAGGAAGGACAUCACCCACAGAAGAAGCACCGGCUAACUCCGUGCCAGCAGCCGCGGUAAUACGGAGGGUGCGAGCGUUAAUCGGAAUUACUGGGCGUAAAGCGCGCGUAGGCGGUCUGAUAAGCCGGUUGUGAAAGCCCCGGGCUCAACCUGGGAACGGCAUCCGGAACUGUCAGGCUAGAGUGCAGGAGAGGAAGGUAGAAUUCCCGGUGUAGCGGUGAAAUGCGUAGAGAUCGGGAGGAAUACCAGUGGCGAAGGCGGCCUUCUGGACUGACACUGACGCUGAGGUGCGAAAGCGUGGGUAGCAAACAGGAUUAGAUACCCGGGUAGUC
RNAcentral lists this ribosomal RNA (463 nucleotides) under Vreelandella stevensii. Its description in RNAcentral is "partial 16S ribosomal RNA". It matches the Rfam family "Bacterial small subunit ribosomal RNA", at positions 338 to 795 of the family's 1533-position model. The record is from RNAcentral. Lineage: Bacteria; Pseudomonadati; Pseudomonadota; Gammaproteobacteria; Oceanospirillales; Halomonadaceae.